GAGUUUGAUCCUGGCUCAGGAUGAACGCUGGCGGCGUGCCUAACACAUGCAAGUCGUGCGGAAACACUUCGGGUGUCGAGCGGCGGACGGGUGAGUAACGCGUGGGAAUCUACCCCAGACAGAGGGAUAAGCCCGAGAAAUCGGGUCUAAUACCGCAUAAUCUCUACGGAGCAAAGCCUUCGGGCGGUUUGGGAAGAGCCUGCGUCGGAUUAGCUUGUUGGUAAGGUAAAGGCUUACCAAGGCAACGAUCCGUAGCUGGUCUGAGAGGAUGAUCAGCCACACUGGAACUGAGACACGGUCCAGACUCCUACGGGAGGCAGCAGUGGGGAAUCUUCCACAAUGGGCGAAAGCCUGAUGGAGCAACGCCGCGUGCAGGAUGAAGGCCCUCGGGUCGUAAACUGCUUUUAUGAUUGAUGAACAUGACAGUAGAUCAUGAAUAAGGACCUGCUAACUACGUGCCAGCAGCCGCGGUCAUACGUAGGGUCCAAGCGUUAUCCGGAUUAACUGGGCGUAAAGAGAUGCGUAGGCGGCUUUGUAAGCGGAUAUUGAAAUCGCGUGGCUCAACCAUGCGGCCGGUAUCCGAACUGCGAGGCUAGAGUAUAAGAGGGGUCGCUGGAAUUGCUGGUGUAGGAGUGAAAUCCGUAGAUAUCAGCAGGAACACCAAUGGCGAAGGCAGGCGACUGGCUUAUUACUGACGCUAAGGCUCGAAAGCGUGGGGAGCGAACCGGAUUAGAUACCCGGGUAGUCCACGCCGUAAACGAUGGAUGCUAGCUAUUGGGAGGUAUCGACCCCUUCCGAAG
Molecule: ribosomal RNA, 800 nt
Filed under: uncultured soil bacterium
Lineage: Bacteria
Description: bacterial SSU rRNA
Rfam family: Bacterial small subunit ribosomal RNA
Source: RNAcentral